UUUCAACCAUAAAGGAAAGUGGUGAA
This 26-nucleotide non-coding RNA is filed under the name Rattus norvegicus (Norway rat). The record is from RNAcentral. Lineage: Eukaryota; Metazoa; Chordata; Mammalia; Rodentia; Muridae.